GAUAACGGCGUCGAGCGGCGGACGGGUGAGUAAUGCCUAGGAAAUUGCCUUGAUGUGGGGGAUAACCAUUGGAAACGAUGGCUAAUACCGCAUAAUGCCUACGGGCCAAAGAGGGGGACCUUCGGGCCUCUCGCGUCAAGAUAUGCCUAGGUGGGAUUAGCUAGUUGGUGAGGUAAUGGCUCACCAAGGCGACGAUCCCUAGCUGGUCUGAGAGGAUGAUCAGCCACACUGGAACUGAGACACGGUCCAGACUCCUACGGGAGGCAGCAGUGGGGAAUAUUGCACAAUGGGCGCAAGCCUGAUGCAGCCAUGCCGCGUGUAUGAAGAAGGCCUUCGGGUUGUAAAGUACUUUCAGCAGUGAGGAAGGGGGUGUCGUUAAUAGCGGCAUUUCUUGACGUUAGCUGCAGAAGAAGCACCGGCUAACUCCGUGCCAGCAGCCGCGGUAAUACGGAGGGUGCGAGCGUUAAUCGGAAUUACUGGGCGUAAAGCGCAUGCAGGUGGUUUGUUAAGUCAGAUGUGAAAGCCCGGGGCUCAACCUCGGAACUGCAUUUGAAACUGGCAAACUAGAGUACUGUAGAGGGGGGUAGAAUUUCAGGUGUAGCGGUGAAAUGCGUAGAGAUCUGAAGGAAUACCAGUGGCGAAGGCGGCCCCCUGGACAGAUACUGACACUCAGAUGCGAAAGCGUGGGGAGCAAACAGGAUUAGAUACCCUGGUAGUCCACGCCGUAAACGAUGUCUACUUGGAGGUUGUGGGCCUUGAGCCGUGGCUUUCGGAGCUAACGCGUUAAGUAGACCGCCUGGGGAGUACGGUCGCAAGAUUAAAACUCAAAUGAAUUGACGGGGGCCGCACAAGCGGUGGANCAUGUGGUUUAAUUCGAUGCAACGCGAAGAAACCUUACCUACUCUUGACAUCCAGAGAACUUUCCAGAGAUGGAUUGGUGGCCUUCGGG
Molecule: ribosomal RNA, 949 nt
Filed under: bacterium S_C49_26
Lineage: Bacteria
Description: bacterial SSU rRNA
Rfam family: Bacterial small subunit ribosomal RNA
Source: RNAcentral